RNAcentral lists this unclassified non-coding RNA (1014 nucleotides) under Polistes fuscatus (common paper wasp). RNAcentral's name for it is "uncharacterized LOC122526187, transcript variant X1". The record is from RNAcentral. Lineage: Eukaryota; Metazoa; Arthropoda; Insecta; Hymenoptera; Vespidae.
GUGGUAGUAGUGGUGGGGAGAAUACGGUGAGAUUCGUGAAACUCCGAUCAGUUACGUGUAGCGCGUGAGACGAUAAGGUUCGUCGGUGUGUCGGACGCGUGUAAACUCGUAGUGUGUUUUUUCGUUUUAAUCCUUGGAUCGUUUUUUUCUUUUUAAUUUCCUCUCCCCCCCUCCGUCUUCUUCCUUCUUCCUUUCUUACCACCUUUCCCCGAUCAAAAUUUUCAUUCCUCGUAAUCCACAAAAAAGUAAACGAACUAAAAAUCGGUGUGGUGUGUGUUUUACGACAGUGAACAAAGUGUCUAAACAAUUUGUCAGUGUGUAAAAUAGUGUGUAUAAAAAAAAUUAAAAGAAAGGAAAAACCACAAGUAUGAAUUACAUCGACUUAUCGAAAAAUCUUAGUGCGUUCGUCAAAGCCUGUUCAAACUUGGGAUACCUGACAGCUGUCAACAACGCUGGUAGGAGGGUUCAAAGAAACCGGUGCUCGAGUCUCAGAAGCUCUGCGGCGCGAGGAAUCGCACGAUCUGCGACUUGUUGCAGCCUGUCCAUAACGUUUCCUCUUCCUUGCACGAAUCAUUUUGUUCGAACAUUUGGAAAUGUACUCGGGAUUAUCGAGAAAAGUGAUACAACCGUGCGAGGAACAACCGGUGAUACAAACCUCUUCCCGGCCUUACCGUUCAUUCGGGAAAAACCCUCGUGCGAAGACAACCCAGAACCAUCGUGAAACGUUUCUGUAUUACGCCUGGAAUGUGAAUUCCACGAACGGAGACUCACCUUCCGGCCACGGAAGACAGAACGAAGAGGAGCAGGGGACUCCCGACAGGGGGCAGAAGGAACACCAGCAGCAGCAGCAGCAGCACAACAGCUCCUAAGGUCUACGAAUUGCAAGCGCACAAUCUUACAUGCCUCGGGCAACCAAGAAUAACCUCUUUCUCCUACCUUCGCGACUAUAUCGUGAGAAAGGAUAAAACGUGGAUAUAGAGAGAAAAAAAAAUCAUGAAAAUAACAAUAAUAAAG